GUGGGGAAUCUUCCGCAAUGGACGAAAGUCUGACGGAGCAACGCCGCGUGAGUGAAGAAGGUUUUCGGAUCGUAAAGCUCUUUCGUUAGGGACGAACGUGCUCUUUGUGAAUAAUGAGGAGUAAUGACGGUACCUAAAUAAGAAGCCACGGCUAACUACGUGCCAGCAGCCGCGGUAAUACGUAGGUGGCAAGCGUUGUCCGGAAUUAUUGGGCGUAAAGCGCGCGCAGGCGGGAUAUCAAGUCUGUCUUAAAAGUGGGAGGCUCAACCUCGUGAGGGGACAGAAACUGGUAUUCUUGAGUGUCGGAGAGGAAAGUGGAAUUCCAAGUGUAGCGGUGAAAUGCGUAGAGAUUUGGAAGAACACCAGUGGCGAAGGCGACUUUCUGGACGAUGUCUGACGCUGAGGCGCGAAAGCUAGGGGAGCGAACGGGAUUAGAUACCCCAGUAGUCC
RNAcentral lists this ribosomal RNA (450 nucleotides) under uncultured bacterium. RNAcentral's name for it is "partial 16S ribosomal RNA". It matches the Rfam family "Bacterial small subunit ribosomal RNA", at positions 354 to 796 of the family's 1533-position model. The record is from RNAcentral.